AAAAAAAAAAACACGUUAGCCAAGGAGAUGGAUUUAACAUGGUAAAGAAUGAGAGCUAUAGACCUGUACUCGAAUUGCUUAUUUCUUUAGAAAAACAGGUCAUUAGUGUGGGUGCCUUGGGAGGAAGGAACAUAAAGAUCUCUAUAGAAAGCAGAGAUAGGUGGAUAAGAGACAAAAUUACUGUUUCUGGAUGCUAUUGUUGUCUGACUCCAUUUUCCUAAUAGUAAAGUGGGAUUUCUGUUCCUCUACGAUGAAGGUAAAAUGAAGUAAUAGGAAAAUUCUCUGAUCUAGUUAUGAGAAACACUGUGAGAAAUGUAAGGUAGUGGUAUUAUCUUAAACCAUAGGUUAGUUUUUCCUUGU
Molecule: non-coding RNA, 360 nt
Organism: Delphinapterus leucas (beluga whale)
Lineage: Eukaryota; Metazoa; Chordata; Mammalia; Artiodactyla; Monodontidae
Source: RefSeq, a predicted model, not a curated record